UUGUUGGUAAGGUAAAAGCUUACCAAGGCUUCGAUCAGUAGCUGGUCUGAGAGGACGACCAGCCACACUGGGACUGAGACACGGCCCAGACUCCUACGGGAGGCAGCAGUGGGGAAUUUUGGACAAUGGGGGCAACCCUGAUCCAGCCAUGCCGCGUGAGUGAAGAAGGCCUUCGGGUUGUAAAGCUCUUUCAGCCGGAACGAAACGGUUACGGUUAACACCCGUGACUACUGACGGUACCGGAAGAAGAAGCACCGGCUAACUACGUGCCAGCAGCCGCGGUAAUACGUAGGGUGCGAGCGUUAAUCGGAAUUACUGGGCGUAAAGCGUGCGCAGGUGGUUUUGUAAGUCAGAUGUGAAGGCCCCGGGCUCAACCUGGGAACUGCGUUUGAAACUACAAGACUAGAGUGUGGCAGAGGGGGGUGGAAUUCCGCGUGUAGCAGUGAAAUGCGUAGAGAUGUGGAGGAACACCGAUGGCGAAGGCAGCCCCCUGGGUCAACACUGACGCUCAGGCACGAAAGCAUGGGGAGCAAACAGGAUUAGAUACCCUGGUAGUCCAUGCCCUAAACGAUGUCAACUAGUUGUCGGGCCUUUACGGGCUUGGUAACGUAGCUAACGCGUGAAGUUGACCGCCUGGGGAGUACGAUCGCAAGAUUAAAACUCAAAUGAAUUGACGGGGACCCGCACAAGCGGUGGAUUAUGUGGAUUAAUUCGAUGCAACGCGAAAAACCUUACCUACCCUUGACAUGUAUCGAAGCCCGCAGAAAAGCGGGGGUGCCCGAAAGGGAACGAUAACACAGGUGCUGCAUGGCUGUCGUCAGCUCGUGUCGUGAGAUGUUGGGUUAAGUCCCGCAACGAGCGCAACCCUUGUCAUUAAUUGCCAUCAUUUAGUUGGGCACUUUAAUGAGACUGCCGG
Molecule: ribosomal RNA, 916 nt
Filed under: uncultured bacterium
Lineage: Bacteria
Description: bacterial SSU rRNA
Rfam family: Bacterial small subunit ribosomal RNA
Source: RNAcentral